AUUGAACGCUGGCGGAAUGCUUUACACAUGCAAGUCGAACGGCAGCACGGACUUCGGUCUGGUGGCGAGUGGCGAACGGGUGAGUAAUGUAUCGGAACGUGCCCAGUCGUGGGGGAUAACGUAGUGAAAAUUACGCUAAUACCGCAUACGAUCUAUGGAUGAAAGCGGGGGAUCGCAAGACCUCGCGCGAUUGGGGCGGCCGAUAUCAGAUUAGGUAGUUGGUGGGGUAAAGGCCCACCAAGCCAACGAUCUGUAGCUGGUCUGAGAGGACGACCAGCCCCACUGGAACUGAGUCACGGUCCAGACUCCUACGGGAGGCAGCAGUGGGGAAUUUUGGACAAUGGGCGAAAGCCUGAUCCAGCCAUUCCGCGUGCAGGAUGAAGGCCCUCGGGUUGUAAACUGCUUUUGUACAGAACGAAAAGGUUUCUACUAAUACUGGGAGCUCAUGACGGUACUGUAAGAAUAAGCACCGGCUAACUACGUGCCAGCAGCCGCCGUAA
RNAcentral lists this ribosomal RNA (500 nucleotides) under uncultured bacterium. RNAcentral's name for it is "partial 16S ribosomal RNA". It matches the Rfam family "Bacterial small subunit ribosomal RNA", at positions 30 to 523 of the family's 1533-position model. The record is from RNAcentral.